GUCGGGGGUGCGCGAGGAGCGCAAGCUGAAACUGAAGCUUGUCGUGACGAACGCGGGUAACGGUGGAGGUUCGAAUCCUCCCCCUGGCACCA
Molecule: transfer RNA, 92 nt
Filed under: Embleya hyalina
Lineage: Bacteria; Bacillati; Actinomycetota; Actinomycetes; Kitasatosporales; Streptomycetaceae
Description: tRNA-Phe
Source: RNAcentral